Molecule: non-coding RNA, 71 nt
Organism: Dunaliella salina
Lineage: Eukaryota; Viridiplantae; Chlorophyta; Chlorophyceae; Chlamydomonadales; Dunaliellaceae
Source: the annotation of a GenBank genome assembly
GCACCAUUGGUCUAGUGGUAGAAUACGUCCUUGCCACGGACGAGACCCGAGUUCGAUUCUCGGAUGGUGCA